UACCAGUCCUUUGCCAUGUUCAUCACAAUGACCUGCUUUCUUUCUGUGCUAUCUCAACCAAUGGGGCUUUAGAUGCUGGAGGUGCCUACUACGUGAUCAGCCGAGCCCUGGGUCUAGAGUUUGGCAGCUGCAUUGGGAUUGGGGUUUUUUGUGCCAAUUUGUGUGGCAGGGCUCUCUAGGUUUUGGGUCUGGUUGAGGCUAUCAUGUCUACCUUUGGCAUCCUUGAAGAGGAUACUGCAGGUCUCCAUCAGGUGUCACCCUCAGGAUACUGGUGGUCUCUGCUGUAUCUUGUACUGUUUUUCA
This is a long non-coding RNA of Etheostoma cragini (Arkansas darter), 303 nucleotides long. RefSeq lists it as uncharacterized. The transcript has 3 exons. Lineage: Eukaryota; Metazoa; Chordata; Actinopteri; Perciformes; Percidae. The record is from RefSeq and is a predicted model, not a curated record.